This is a non-coding RNA of Phrynosoma platyrhinos (Desert horned lizard), 71 nucleotides long. The record is from the annotation of a GenBank genome assembly. Lineage: Eukaryota; Metazoa; Chordata; Lepidosauria; Squamata; Phrynosomatidae.
GACAGUGUGGUAUAGUGGUUUAAAUGUUAAACUAGGACUCUGGAGAUCAAGGUUCAAUUCCCAGCUUGGCA